RNAcentral lists this ribosomal RNA (174 nucleotides) under Clostridium sp. Its description in RNAcentral is "partial 16S ribosomal RNA". It matches the Rfam family "Bacterial small subunit ribosomal RNA", at positions 334 to 525 of the family's 1533-position model. The record is from RNAcentral. Lineage: Bacteria; Bacillati; Bacillota; Clostridia; Eubacteriales; Clostridiaceae.
UACUCCUACGGGAGGCAGCAGUGGGGAAUAUUGCACAAUGGGGGAAACCCUGAUGCAGCAACGCCGCGUGAGUGAAGAAGGUCUUCGGAUCGUAAAGCUCUGUCUUUGGGGACGAUAAUGACGGUACCCAAGGAGGAAGCCACGGCUAACUACGUGCCAGCAGCCGCGGUAAUA